This 370-nucleotide ribosomal RNA is filed under the name uncultured organism. Its description in RNAcentral is "partial 16S ribosomal RNA". It matches the Rfam family "Bacterial small subunit ribosomal RNA", at positions 527 to 896 of the family's 1533-position model. The record is from RNAcentral.
AGAGAGUGCAAGCGUUAAUCGGAAUUAUUGGGCGAAAAGCGCGCGUAGGCGGAUGCUCCAGUUGGGUGUGAAAUCCCCGGGCUUAACCUGGGAAUUGCAUUCAAUACUAGGCAUCUAGAGUAUGGUAGAGGGAAGUGGAAUUUCCGGUGUAGCGGUGAAAUGCGUAGAUAUCGGAAGGAACACCAGUGGCGAAGGCGGCUUCCUGGACCAAUACUGACGCUGAGGUGCGAAAGCGUGGGGGAGCAAACAGGAUUAGAGACCCUGGUAGUCCACGCCGUUAACGAUGAGAACUAGACGUUGGAGGGGUUGCCCUUUAGUGUCGUAGCUAACGCGUUAAGUUCUCCGCCUGGGGAGUACGACCGCAAGGUUA